AUUGAACGCUGGCGGCAUGCCUUACACAUGCAAGUCGAACGGCAGCGGACCUUCGGGUGCCGGCGAGUGGCGAACGGGUGAGUAAUGUAUCGGAACGUACCUUUCAGUGGGGGAUAACUAUCCGAAAGGAUAGCUAAUACCGCAUAUUCUGUGAGCAGGAAAGCAGGGGAUCGCAAGACCUUGCGCUGAUUGAGCGGCCGAUAUCAGAUUAGCUAGUUGGUGGGGUAAAAGCUCACCAAGGCGACGAUCUGUAGCGGGUCUGAGAGGAUGAUCCGCCACACUGGAACUGAGACACGGUCCAGACUCCUACGGGAGGCAGCAGUGGGGAAUUUUGGACAAUGGGCGCAAGCCUGAUCCAGCCAUGCCGCGUGAGUGAAGAAGGCCUUCGGGUUGUAAAGCUCUUUCGGCCGGGAAGAAAUCGCAUAGGUUAAUACCCUGUGUGGAUGACGGUACCGGAAUAAGAAGCACCGGCUAACUACGUGCCAGCAGCCGCAGUAA
This 498-nucleotide ribosomal RNA is filed under the name uncultured bacterium. RNAcentral describes it as "partial 16S ribosomal RNA". It matches the Rfam family "Bacterial small subunit ribosomal RNA", at positions 30 to 523 of the family's 1533-position model. The record is from RNAcentral.